AGUGAACGCUGGCGGUAGGCCUAACACAUGCAAGUCGAACGGCAGCACAGUAAGAGCUUGCUCUUACGGGUGGCGAGUGGCGGACGGGUGAGGAAUACAUCGGAAUCUACUUUUUCGUGGGGGAUAACGUAGGGAAACUUACGCUAAUACCGCAUACGACCUACGGGUGAAAGCAGGGGAUCUUCGGACCUUGCGCGAUUGAAUGAGCCGAUGUCGGAUUAGCUAGUUGGCGGGGUAAAGGCCCACCAAGGCGACGAUCCGUAGCUGGUCUGAGAGGAUGAUCAGCCAAACUGGAACUGGGACACGGUCCAGACUUCUACGGGAGGCAGCAGUGGGGAAUAUUUGACAAUGGGCGCAAGCCUGAUCCAGCCAUACCGCGUGGGUGAAGAAGGCCUUCGGGUUGGUAAGCCCUUUUGUUGGGAAAGAAAAGCAGCAGGUUAAUACCCCGCUGUUCUGACGGUACCCAAAGAAUAAGCACCGGCUAACUUCGUGC
This 493-nucleotide ribosomal RNA is filed under the name uncultured bacterium. RNAcentral's name for it is "partial 16S ribosomal RNA". It matches the Rfam family "Bacterial small subunit ribosomal RNA", at positions 29 to 508 of the family's 1533-position model. The record is from RNAcentral.